Molecule: non-coding RNA, 89 nt
Organism: Mumia flava
Lineage: Bacteria; Bacillati; Actinomycetota; Actinomycetes; Propionibacteriales; Nocardioidaceae
Source: Rfam
AUUUAUGGCGGGCCCGGCGGAGCGGCUUUCGGGCUGGCUGGCUUCCUUGGGUGCCAGUUUUCCACCUCCGCUGUCGGCCCGCCGCCCUA